ACCCCACAUCCCCAGGUCCCCACCCUGCAGUGCUUGCACAGGCCUCUCCUCCAGCAAGAGAGGGGCACAGGCGGGGCUGGGUGGGGCGUGGGCUGGCAAGGAAGUGAACCCUCCACCUUGGUCGGGGUCCUGGCCUGGGCUUAGGGCCUGCCAGCUUAUAGAGGCCUUGAUCCUUUCUGGAAGCCCUGUACUGUCCAGGAGGAUGUUCCCCAGCUACAAGGUAAAAGUCACAGGCAUGAACCCCAAGACCAAGUACAUCCUGCUGAUUGACAUUGUCCCUGCCGAUGACCAUCGCUACAAGUUCUGUGACAACAAAUGGAUGGUGGCAGGGAAGGCUGAGCCGGCCAUGCCAGGAAGGCUGUAUGUCCACCCGGAUUCUCCUGCCACAGGGGCCCACUGGAUGCGGCAGCUGGUCUCCUUCCAGAAGCUGAAGCUGACAAAUAACCACCUGGACCCCUUUGGCCAUAUCAUCCUCAACUCUAUGCACAAGUACCAGCCGCGGCUCCACAUCGUUAAGGCUGAUGAGAACAAUGCUUUCGGCUCCAAAAACACUGCUUUCUGCACCCACGUGUUCCCAGAGACCUCCUUCAUCUCUGUGACCUCCUACCAGAAUCACAAGGUACAGCCAC
RNAcentral lists this small RNA (629 nucleotides) under Pongo abelii (Sumatran orangutan). RNAcentral's name for it is "processed transcript". Lineage: Eukaryota; Metazoa; Chordata; Mammalia; Primates; Hominidae. The record is from RNAcentral.